UACGUAGAGUGCUAACGUUGUUCGGAAUUACUGGGCAUAAAGAGCUCGUAGGCGGCGCUGUAAGUCGGUUGUGAAAGCCCCUGGCUCAACCAGGGAAUCGCUUCCGAUACUGCAGUGCUUGAGUGUGGCAGGGGAGAGUGGAACUUCCAGUGGAGCGGUGAAAUGCGUAGAUAUUGGAAGGAACGCCAGCGGCGAAAGCGACUCUCUGGGCCAUAACUGACGCUGAGGAGCGAAAGCUAGGGUAGCGAACGGG
This 253-nucleotide ribosomal RNA is filed under the name uncultured bacterium. Its description in RNAcentral is "partial 16S ribosomal RNA". It matches the Rfam family "Bacterial small subunit ribosomal RNA", at positions 524 to 776 of the family's 1533-position model. The record is from RNAcentral.